CUCUAUACAUUUCGCAAAACGUCAUCUGUCAAAUCUUCUAAAUCCGUCAUUUAUUUGGUGCGUUCCCGAAAGCCGCAGACAUUUAGAUUUUUGCCUUUCCUCUCGUCAAUCCGCGACAAAAAGCAUCCCAAAAUGACUGCCUGGAGAGCUGCUGGUUUGAACUACAUCAACUACUCCAACAUUGCCGCUAAUCUGCUGCGCCGGGCGCUUAAGUCCGAGCUCCGGGAGCAGGCCGCCCGCCGUGAUGUCACUUCCAUCAAGUUUACCAAAUGGGCCAACGGCAAGCCCGAAAAUGAAAAGUAAAUCUUUUCUUUAAUGUGACAUUGAACCUUGUCGGAAGGUUUAGUUGGUUUGCAGUUUCUUACGGGGAAUUAGGUUGCCGCAAACUAAGUCCGGAUUUCUGAAUUAAAGUUCACGAAAUAAAACAGAGUUCAGUAAUAUGGAAAGGUAAACAACA
Molecule: RNA transcript, 457 nt
Organism: Culex pipiens pallens (northern house mosquito)
Lineage: Eukaryota; Metazoa; Arthropoda; Insecta; Diptera; Culicidae
Gene name: protein stunted-like
Exons: 5
Source: RefSeq, a predicted model, not a curated record